AUUAUUCAUUGUACCCAACAAGAAUCAUGAGAUCCUAAUUCCUUAUCAUCCAUUCCUGGCAAUAAGCUUGAACGAGUACAAGUACAUAGAGGCUGAAUGCCCGAAGACCAGCAAGGGUUAUCUAUGUGCCGAUAUUAGAAGCUUACAGCGUGAACCUUCAAAUCAACCAGAUUGUAUCCAACAACUUAUAACCGCCCAAAAUAGAAGUAGGUUUUGCCAUCCAGUGAAAGUAACUUUGGAAAAACCAGCGUUCGAGCAACUUGACGAACGUCACUAUACAAUGAGUUUUCCGCUGCCCACGAAAGUUCACCUAUCGUGUGGCCACGACCUGUACCGGACACUUCGAGGCAGCUACUUGGCAGUAAUUCCACAAAAUUGCUUUUUGAAAACGCCAGAGUUUAUGAUUCUCAAUAGAAACGAUCGCAUAAAAGGCCAAGCAAUUCAAGUUAUGGAUUUACCAAAAGAAGAACCCUGUGACUCAAGACCAUCUCCGCAUUAUGAAUUGAAGUCCACAAAACUGGAUCACCUACAUCAUGCAAGUGCAAAGGUUUCAUCUCAAACACCUAUCACUUUACCUCCGAGUUCGGACCACGGAAGUAUUUACCACACAACCAUACCCAUAUACACCAUAUUGGUUGGAACCUGCGGACUGAGUAUAAUCAUCAUAGUUUAUCGUAAAAUACAGCGCACGAAGACAUUGCAGAUAAGAAGCACAGCCGAAAUUCAGAGUUCUUCAUCCGAUGACCUCCCGGCGCAAUUCACAGCCAAGGUGUUCCAUAAGCGCCGAUCUGAUGGGGGAGGUGUUACGCAGGCGAAGCCAGCGGCUGAUACAUAGUGAGCCAGCGCAACAUGCAUUCCCAUUCCCACGUACGAAUACGACCCGUAUAGCUGACGCGGCGUAAUACCAGAACCCGCGCGAUGUGGGAAUCGUAAUAUUAAGUUAGAAUAUUCUCAUCCUUAGAGAUAAGCACUAGUUUUUAGUCUUUUCAUUUAAAUGUAACUUUGAAUAUAAUUAUUAUAAGGAUAUUAUCGCCGACUAGUUUUCUUCCAUCCACCUCCUGCGAGCCUAAACAUUACUUAAUUACAAACAAUUAGUAAUGUAAGUUUGAUAUCUGCUGGUAAAGCAUUUCAAGUAGGUAAUUAUGUUGUCAGAUAUAUCCACGCAAAAAAGUUUAUUUAAAGUAAAAUUGAGUUAUACUCUUAUAUUGUUAUUAACAAUUAUUGUUAUGAUGGCUGUUACUUUAAAAAGUGGCUUUAAAGAAAAUAAUUUAUAACUAAGUACACCAACUAUAUUGUCUUAAGUAGGUACCUAUGUAUACAAAAUGCAUAAUCUACUAAUUCUCAUAAGUGCUAAGAGUGUUUAGUAAAUAAGUAUCGCUAAAUAUCUUGAACGUGGAGUACAAACAAUUUGUUUUGUGUUUGUAUUUUUGCAUUGUGUAAAAUAUGGUUGUAAAAUGAAGUGAUAAAUCCGAAAUCAAUAAUAUUUUAA
Molecule: long non-coding RNA, 1489 nt
Organism: Maniola jurtina (meadow brown)
Lineage: Eukaryota; Metazoa; Arthropoda; Insecta; Lepidoptera; Nymphalidae
Exons: 3
Source: RefSeq, a predicted model, not a curated record